AUACCAAUCUAGCCUGGCUAGGUGUUGGGCUUCGCCAUCUGGCGGGCUUUAAAACUAGUGGCGGUGCUCUUAGGCUCUACGCGUAGUAAUUUUCUCGCCACAGAGUCCUGGGAGAUGCUUGCCAGCAACCCCAAAUUUUUCUA
RNAcentral lists this unclassified non-coding RNA (143 nucleotides) under uncultured Lachnum. Its description in RNAcentral is "sequence contains ITS2". Lineage: Eukaryota; Fungi; Ascomycota; Leotiomycetes; Helotiales; Hyaloscyphaceae. The record is from RNAcentral.